RNAcentral lists this transfer RNA (109 nucleotides) under Claviceps africana. It matches the Rfam family "tRNA". From Rfam's summary of the family: Transfer RNA (tRNA) molecules are approximately 80 nucleotides in length. The record is from Rfam by way of RNAcentral. Lineage: Eukaryota; Fungi; Ascomycota; Sordariomycetes; Hypocreales; Clavicipitaceae.
GGCACUUUGGCCGAGUGGUCUAAGGCGCCGUGUUCAGGUGUUCAGUUGCUCGCAACUGCCCCUCUUCGCGGUCUAGUAAUAGGCGAGGGUUCGAAUCCCUCAGGUGUCA